UACGGAGGGUGCAAAGCGUUGCUCGGAAUCAUUGGGCGUAAAGGCGCACGUAGGCGGCUCGUUAAGUCGGGUGUGAAAGCCCUGGGCGUCAACCCAGGAAGUGCAUUCGAAACUGGCGAGCUUGAAUAUGGAAGAGGGUCGCGGAAUUCCCGGUGUAGAGGUGAAAUUCGUAGAUAUCGGGAGGAACACCAGUGGCGAAGGCGGC
RNAcentral lists this ribosomal RNA (205 nucleotides) under uncultured bacterium. Its description in RNAcentral is "partial 16S ribosomal RNA". It matches the Rfam family "Bacterial small subunit ribosomal RNA", at positions 524 to 725 of the family's 1533-position model. The record is from RNAcentral.